CCCACCCCAUCGGCCACGGCUAGUACAGUCAGCGCCGGCGUGAGGGAAGAGAGGUGUGUUGCUACUCUCCUGCACCGCCGCCGCCACUGGACCCCGGCAUUCCCAAAGACCCAAGAAACGACCAAGGGACACCCGGACGGCCUUGCAGUGUAUCCAGGGAGGAUGAGGGACCAAAGCUGUUAGGAUGACUGUGCGAAAGAUAUUACGCUGUUAUCUUUAAAUGAAUGGUGAGUGUACAGCAGGCAGGUCACAGCUCGAUGCAGGUGUGGUGCUGCGCUAUGAUCACGGCCAGGCGUCACAACUCUUCGGCAAGCUACCUGCACGAAGAGAUGCCUUGAACACCCCGAUGGAACAAUCCAGCUAUUUGAGAAAAGGGACAUCAACUUUCGAAAAAAAAAACUUGCAAAUGUUGCCUCUCAAUUUGAUAAAUUAAGUUAGCUGAUGUCCAGCUUAGCCCCCUCACGUACUAUGCUUAUCUAUUACUGUGUUAUAUUGUUUAUUGAAAUUUUUUUAAAAAAGGAUCAAGGAUGAUAAUUUAACAAAGCAUGUUUCAGAUCCUUCCCUAGUUUUGUCAAUAAGAGGCACUCAAUGAUAAAACCCAGUAGAUGAGGUGCUUCCUGAUGCAAGGCUAGCAAAUGCUUUGCCAAGAUAGUGUGCGCAUGCACAGGGAGGACAAUAUAUUAUACUGCAUCCGGCAUUGACACACGAGCUGUCCAGCUGUGAACACAACAGCGAAGGUGUUGGGUCGCAAGUUGAUUCAGUGACUGGGGAGCUAUAUCAAGGUUAUGUUAACUGUUAAAGUGAUGGAACUGAGAAAAUUCAAUUAUGAAAAGACAAAACAUGUGGAAAAAAGUUGGGCCCGGUGUUUGACGACCACCAGCAGAGGUGCACACUGCUGUGUCCACAGAAAUGUUUGCUAGCCUUGCAUCAGGAAACUCUUAAUCUGCCGGGUUUUAUCCUUGAGCACCAUAUAAGUGCAUGAAUUAUUCACAUGUUGAUAAAAGUGACAAAAGU
This is a long non-coding RNA of Eriocheir sinensis (Chinese mitten crab), 1014 nucleotides long. RefSeq lists it as uncharacterized. The record is from RefSeq and is a predicted model, not a curated record. Lineage: Eukaryota; Metazoa; Arthropoda; Malacostraca; Decapoda; Varunidae. The transcript has 3 exons.